Molecule: ribosomal RNA, 253 nt
Filed under: uncultured bacterium
Lineage: Bacteria
Description: partial 16S ribosomal RNA
Rfam family: Bacterial small subunit ribosomal RNA
Source: RNAcentral
UACAGAGGUGGCGAGCGUUAUUCGGAAUUAUUGGGCGUAAAGGGCGCGUAGGCGGCCAGAUAAGUCCCGGGUGAAAUCCCUCGGCUCAACCGAGGAACUGCCUUGGAAACUGUCUGGCUCGAGGCCGGGAGUGGGUAGUGGAAUUCCCAGUGUAGCGGUGAAAUGCGUAGAUACUGGGAGGAACACCGGUGGCGAAGGCGGCUACCUGGACCGGUUCUGACGCUGAUGCGCGAAAGCGUGGGGAGCAAACAGG